RNAcentral lists this transfer RNA (74 nucleotides) under Candidatus Berkelbacteria bacterium RIFOXYA2_FULL_43_10. Its description in RNAcentral is "tRNA-Cys". It matches the Rfam family "tRNA". Rfam says of the family: Transfer RNA (tRNA) molecules are approximately 80 nucleotides in length. Their secondary structure includes four short double-helical elements and three loops (D, anti-codon, and T loops). The record is from RNAcentral. Lineage: Bacteria; Candidatus Berkelbacteria.
GGCGUUGUGGCCGAGUAGUUAGGCAGUGGUCUGCAAAACCGCGUACCCGGGUGCAAAUCCCGGCAACGCCUCCA